RNAcentral lists this long non-coding RNA (331 nucleotides) under Elaeis guineensis (African oil palm). RNAcentral's name for it is "long non-coding RNA (EGUI_LNC044227)". Lineage: Eukaryota; Viridiplantae; Streptophyta; Magnoliopsida; Arecales; Arecaceae. The record is from RNAcentral.
GUUUUGCACAAGAAAACCACAAUCAUUGAAAACAAAGAAACAAUUGUUUUCUUUGGAAAAUUGUUUGACUGAAAGUAAGUUGGAAGAUGCAUUGGGACAUUGCAAAAUAUAGUUUAGAUGAAAUGAAGUAUUUAAGAAUUAUUAUGGUGGUAUCAUGGAUGCCUUGGAUUUAUAGCUCUAUGAGCGAUGACUAUGCUGUGAAGAGGCAUACUGUGAAGAGCUACCUUCGUAUGAGCUGAGCUAACCCUGACAUGAGCUCCUCUAUACUGAUACGAGGUAUCCUGAGCAUCUACAUUGAUAUGAGCUGAGGCCAAAAGCAAUAAAUGUCCCC